This 496-nucleotide ribosomal RNA is filed under the name uncultured soil bacterium. Its description in RNAcentral is "bacterial SSU rRNA". It matches the Rfam family "Bacterial small subunit ribosomal RNA", at positions 26 to 508 of the family's 1533-position model. The record is from RNAcentral.
AGAUUGAACGCUGGCGGCGUGCUUAACACAUGCAAGUCGAGCGGUAACAGGCGUAGCAAUACGUGCUGACGAGCGGCGAACGGGUGCGUAAUACAUGGGAAUCUGCCUUUUAGUGGGGGAAUAACCCGGCGAAAGCCGGGCUAAUGCCGCAUAAGAUCUUCGGAUGAAAGCGGGGGAUCGUAAGACCUCGCGCUGAUAGAUGAGCCCAUGCCGGAUUAGCUAGUUGGUGAGGUAACGGCUCACCAAGGCGACGAUCCGUAGCUGGUCUGAGAGGACGGCCAGCCACACUGGGACUGAGACACGGCCCAGACUCCUACGGGAGGCAGCAGUGGGGAAUAUUGGACAAGUGGGGGAAACCCUGAUCCAGCGACGCCGCGUGUGUGAAGAAGGCCUGCGGUUGUAAAGCUACGUUUCGGUAGGGAACGAAAUAUGCCGGGCUAAUACGUCCCGGUAGGCUGACGUUACUCAAUGAAGAAGCGACCGCUAGACUCUGUCG